AAUCCCGGCCCAUUUGGAAACUUGGGAGGAGAAUGGCGGUGGAGAUCGACAACUGUUGAGGCGGUUAUAACCGCCUGACAGCCACGAUCACCACCACUUCUCCCUCCCCGCCGAGCCUAUAAGAACCCAGAUACUCAGGGAUGCUUCAUCCCUUACCUCUCACUCUCCCUACUCCUCACCCUCUUCCUUCUGUGUAAGAAGCCGGAUCGAGUACAGUGGCGCCGGAGGAGGAGGGAGCUCGUCCCCGCACUGCGUCGUCGGAGCAGAUGCAUCAGCUCACCGGAAAAGCCCCACAGCUCCUUCCCGGAGCUAGGUGAGUCUUCUGAUCACUCUAUCCCUCUCAUUUCAUAUUCCGAUCUAUCCGGAUGAGUGAUCAAAACAAAAGAGAAAUAAAGAAAUGAAAAGAAGGAAGAAGAAGAAGAGGAGGAUAGAAAGGGAGAAGAGCUUACCGGAUGUCCUCGGUCGUGAAUCCGGCACGAUGAGCUCGGCUGCAGCCGUCGACGGCCGGAGGCUCUUACUCCCCUCUUCCGAUCGCGGGGAGAUCGUCUACAACUCUUCUUUGGCUGUGGUGAGUUCGAUCGCAGCCAUAGCCACAGUGGUGGGUUUCUCCCCCACUGUAGUGAGAACGAAGGAGCCGCCGGCUCCGACUGCAGGCUCCGCUGGCCUUCGGCCGGAGCUGUGGUGGGCCGGAGGCCCCUUCUUCUCAAGGGGGUUGGUUCUGACCCCCAAAGAACAGAGAGGGGGCCGGCCGCUGCGGGCGCGG
RNAcentral lists this long non-coding RNA (763 nucleotides) under Phoenix dactylifera (date palm). Its description in RNAcentral is "long non-coding RNA (PDAC_LNC018499)". Lineage: Eukaryota; Viridiplantae; Streptophyta; Magnoliopsida; Arecales; Arecaceae. The record is from RNAcentral.